RNAcentral lists this ribosomal RNA (301 nucleotides) under uncultured bacterium. RNAcentral's name for it is "partial 16S ribosomal RNA". It matches the Rfam family "Bacterial small subunit ribosomal RNA", at positions 509 to 809 of the family's 1533-position model. The record is from RNAcentral.
CAGUCGCCACGGUAAGACAGAGGUCCCGAGCGUUGUUCGGAUUCAUUGGGCGUAAAGGGUGUGUAGGAGGCCAGGUAAGUCAGGUGUGAAAUCUCAGAGCUUAACUCUGAAACUGCGCUUGAUACUGCUUGGCUAGAGGAUCGGAGGGGGUAACGGAAUUUAUGGUGUAGCAGUGAAAUGCGUAGAUAUCAUAAGGAACACCGGUGGCGAAGGCGGUUACCUGGAAGAUUCCUGACUCUGAAACACGAAAGCCAGGGGAGCAAACGGGAUUAGAUACCCCCGUAGUCCCUGUCUCUUAUAA